Long non-coding RNA from Pezoporus flaviventris, 930 nucleotides. RefSeq lists it as uncharacterized. NCBI's taxonomy places the organism in Eukaryota, Metazoa, Chordata, Aves, Psittaciformes, Psittacidae. The record is from RefSeq and is a predicted model, not a curated record. The transcript has 3 exons.
AGUGAAAAGGCAAUACUCAAGGAACAGUGAAGGAAUGCAAUGCUAUAUUUUCAUGUCCUCAUUACACAGAAAUUAAUACAGUAAAGGAGAAAAAUGAGUGUAUAUUUCAGUUGGAAUAUGAGUACCAUUGAAUUGAGCUACCAAGAUUAUUUCUUUUGUGCCACCCAUGUCUAUUCCCUGGCAAAUAUUUGCCAUGGGAAUUCUACUGCUUUUGUGUAAAGCAUCUUUUGCAGUCUUGAUCUCAUGCUAGAUCUCUAGGCACUCCUAUAAGAAAGGCAAUAAUAACUGGUGACAAGUAUGAAGAACUCCUGUUGCUAAUCAGUAAGGUAUUUCUGAAAAGCAAUGCAGGGAAAUUCAGAAUGACCACAGGAAUUAAUAAUAAUAAAAAAAAAAUCAUACAGGUUACAGAGCUCAAAUUAUUUCACUUAAGGUAAAAGAUAAAAGAUACAGAUUAAAAGAUAAAAGAUUGAAACUACAUCUUUCUUUUCAGAGAUGCUUAUUUUGUCACUCCUUUGAUACUUGCCCUUGCUUUAAACAGUGUCUUCAGGGGCUGCAUCAUGAUAACUGAGGUUGAACAGAGUCUUUUAUUUUGAGAUAUGAAACGAGUACCUCCCAUCUCCAGAAGGAGCCACCGCAAAUACUCUGAGCACUUCCAGUUCCUACUUCUGUGCUAUGCCUGGCUUCUGCUAGCCAAAAGGAGUUGGUGAGGUGAACCUUGACUAGGAUUUUCCAUGGUGGAUUGAUCAAGUGAUGGAAGCAAUUACUGUAUUUUCUCACCUUAAGAUAACCAGUGAAAGGAUCAGCAUCAGCAGAUAUCUCCACAGAAUGGAUUUGAUUUCAUCUGGACUAAUUCAUUCCUCAUUAGUAAGAAGACAACAGGAAAAUUAUUUUUGGAGGAAUACAAAGGCAAAGCCAAAAAAAAAAAAAAAA